RNAcentral lists this ribosomal RNA (497 nucleotides) under uncultured bacterium. RNAcentral's name for it is "partial 16S ribosomal RNA". It matches the Rfam family "Bacterial small subunit ribosomal RNA", at positions 28 to 507 of the family's 1533-position model. The record is from RNAcentral.
GAUGAACGCUGGCGGCGUGCCUAAUACAUGCAAGUCGAGCGAACAGACGAGGAGCUUGCUCCUCUGACGUUAGCGGCGGAAGGGUGAGUAACACGUGGAUAAACUACCUAUAAGACUGGGAUAACUUCGGGAAACCGGAGCUAAAACCGGAUAAUAUAUUGAACCGCAAGGUUCAAUAGUGAAAGACGGUUUUGCUGUCACUUAUAGAUGGACCCGCGCCGCAUUAGCUAGUUGGUAAGGUAACGGCUUACCAAGGCAACGAUGCGUAGCCGACCUGAGAGGGUGAUCGGCCACACUGGAACUGAGACACGGUCCAGACUCCUACGGGAGGCAGCAGUAGGGAAUCUUGCGCAAUGGGCGAAAGCCUGACGGAGCAACGCCGCGUGAGUGAUGAAGGUCUUCGGAUCGUAAAACUCUGUUAUUAGGGAAGAACAAAUGUGUAAGUAACUAUGCUCGUCUUGACGGUACCUACUCAGAAAGCCACGGCUAACUACGUG